GUAUCUUUCAGGACAGUCUUUAUUAAAAGCAAUUGGAUUAAUAAUCUCUGAAUUGUCAUGAAUCUGCAAGUGUCCAGGAUUUCACAUGAAGAAGAUGAGAGAAGACAACUCAGAGCGUGGAGUGACUUCCCUUCAUUUUAAACAAGGUGUUCCAGGCUACGCUAUGGAAGUCAACUUUGUGGGAUUGAAACGUUAAGCUGGAAUCCUUUCGACUUUUAUGAAUGCAAGAGCUUGUCAGCUUCAGGAGGAUGCUCCACCAUUGAUGAAGGAAGGGUCAAGAGUGAAGAAGGGAUGCUCCAUGUGGCAAUGUGACACCAAUUUUCCACGACGGGGAGGAAAAAGUCCAGUAGUUGACAAUGAAUAGGAUGCCACAACCUCUUGAGUGAAAGGUAACCUGUAUGGUGGACUCUCAAUCUCUGUAUACUCAUAAGAGAUCCACAGGGGAACAUAAAGAGAGAAGUAAAAUGUGUUCAGAAGUUUAAGAUUCUCCAAGGUUUAAGCUGGUCAGUUGAUCAGUCAAAGGAUGAAGAUUCAGUUUUACAAGACAAGAAUUAAGAAGUUUUACUUACAUAUACGAAGUUGCAUUGGAUUACGUUUCAUUACCAUAAAAAUAGUCAUAAGACUAUCAAGUAGUUUAAUGAUAAUGUAGUCUAUAUUGUGUUCUGUAACCUUUACACAGCUUGUGCCUGAAUUGCUCCUUUGAAUCGUCACAAAGUCUCAUGAUAUAGGCAGGGCAGAUAUGAUGGGAAUUUUUUCAGUUGAGAAAACUGCAGUCUAGAGAGGUUAAAUGAGGCCCAGAAAGGCCAAGCCACAUAUCAAAAUACCUACAAUAGCCUGGCAGGUAUAUAAAUGUGUGAAUAAGCUUACCAUAAUAAAACAGGGAAUGAUGGGGCUUGAGGCAAAAUUUGAGAACAUAUGACCCAGCAAAAAGCAUUACAAUUCUAAAGGCUUAAAAAAACAUGUUGCCAAACAGUACAUGUUUGUGGGGGAAGAUUUCACUCUCAGAAAACCAAAUCACUCUUUCUUGUAGUCAGUGAAACUAGUCUCCUCUUCUGACUUUUUCAGCUCAACUGAAUUCUGUGAAUAGCUAUUCAAAUCUUUCUCUAUGUCAUAGUCUCUGCCCUCCAAGUGUUUAAAAUGUGAUUGGGCAUUGACAACAUGGCUAUCAGGUGUGAUUAUGUGGGUUGCACCUUGAGCACCUCUAGAAGAGAGAAGCCAUUCACAUUGCAAGCUAAGUGAAUUGAGUUGGGCAGUGCUCAAUACACAAUGGCCCCCAACUACCCUGGUUGGUUAUAUUCCUGGUAUAUAAGAAAAUUAAGUAAAGUAAAAGUCAUAAAAGAGUAGUAAGUGCUAGAAAAGCCAAAAGGAAAGAGUUUGCAGGCUAUUGGCGAGUUCCAUGCUCUUCGCUCUUUGGGCAAUGACUAAUCCUGCGUGACCCUGCUUCUUCCAUAAAGCCCCAGGCAAUGCAAGGAGUGUCAUAUGGACUUCUGUGAGCAUCUGUGAGGAUGCUACUCCUUCCAAAUCUGGAUUUCUUAGCUUCACAGUCAUUUUGUUCUUUCACCUUCUUCUCUUCUGGGUUCCUACCAAGCCUGGACUUCUGCAUUUCAAAUACUGGAUAAAUUUAAAAAAUGCAUUAAGGAGAAUGGGUUGGGGAAGGAACAAGCUCUGAUAAAUUACCAACGAGUCAUUUAUUAUGAUAUCCUCAUGAAGAGAAAAAAGAGGUCUACUCAGGAAAAAUGUUAGAGAUCUUUAGCUGUAUGUUCUCCUGAGAAACCUUCAUAAAAGAAGACUCAGUGGUGAGCAGCCCUGGGUUUACGGUCUUCUCAGGAUAACAUUUCAGUAAAGGUGAUUGAGAUAUAUCAGUUUAAAGGGCCCAGGACAAGAAACUUGUGGGCUCACUGACAUAUUAAGCAUUUAUUCAGUAGCUCAAUGGGUGGAU
Molecule: long non-coding RNA, 1939 nt
Filed under: Homo sapiens (human)
Lineage: Eukaryota; Metazoa; Chordata; Mammalia; Primates; Hominidae
Description: HSALNT0213618
Source: RNAcentral